CGGGAGGGUGAGGCAGAUGUGGGUAAAUAUUUUCAACAAUGCUCCGCCCAAACAUAAAAGAGGCUACUCAUCUUCUCCACCGGGACUCACAGGACAAAAUAGAGACUUCAUUUCAGUUGACAAUUUGGUCAGCUGUGCCUGAUAGUGAGCCUGAAUAUGAUCACCUUGUCUGGACAGGAAACACACGUUGUCUCCCCUUGUGUACCAGCGAUGUCCAGCCAACGGCGUCAACGAGGCUUUGAGCGAGCGUCCUCACUCCGUCCCGUGUUGCUG
Molecule: long non-coding RNA, 273 nt
Organism: Pomacea canaliculata
Lineage: Eukaryota; Metazoa; Mollusca; Gastropoda; Architaenioglossa; Ampullariidae
Exons: 3
Source: RefSeq, a predicted model, not a curated record